RNAcentral lists this transfer RNA (68 nucleotides) under Marmota monax (woodchuck). Its description in RNAcentral is "tRNA.Ala". Lineage: Eukaryota; Metazoa; Chordata; Mammalia; Rodentia; Sciuridae. The record is from RNAcentral.
GGAUUGUGGCCUAGCGGUAGAGUGCUCGCCUAGCAUGUGCAGGGCUCUGGGUUCGAUCCUCAGCACCA